UAACCUUGAGUUACUCAUCACAGGCCUGUAACAGCGGGGUUCGUACGCCGCUAGUCAAGUAACGCAUCUUCUCGGAGCAAGUGCUUCGCAACUGGGAGAAGAAGAGUCAVGUYCGGCGCACGCCCUGGACGGAGCUCUAGUUACUGGCGAGACAAUCUGGUUCAGGAGACGCUUCUCAUGCCUAGUUAAGGGUGUGAUGCCAAUCCUGAGGCGAAGCUGGAGUUACGUCCAGCCGCUGCAACGCGCGCAAAGAUGUCGGUUCCGGCACCCAUUGGGGUCAGGAGCUUAAGGUACGUGCUAAUUCCCCCGAGAAAUCGGUGCCCCUAGACUGAGAUCCAGUUAAUCAAGGUCUAGGGGGGCUUCUGUUUGAUGUCCUGUUGCACAGGGCGGAUGACAGGGGCUGAAGUGUGGUCUUUUUUGGUGGGAUUCAAGUAUCACGUACWUGAACGUCCACCACCAAGACCGCACCUAAAUG
Molecule: ribosomal RNA, 475 nt
Filed under: Exophiala prototropha
Lineage: Eukaryota; Fungi; Ascomycota; Eurotiomycetes; Chaetothyriales; Herpotrichiellaceae
Description: 18S ribosomal RNA
Source: RNAcentral